Molecule: ribosomal RNA, 560 nt
Filed under: Weissella cibaria
Lineage: Bacteria; Bacillati; Bacillota; Bacilli; Lactobacillales; Lactobacillaceae
Description: bacterial SSU rRNA
Rfam family: Bacterial small subunit ribosomal RNA
Source: RNAcentral
AUGGAGUGCUAGAUGUUUGGGGGGGUUUCCGCCCCUAAAGUGUCGUAGCUUAACGCAUUAAGCAAUCCGCCUGGGGGAGUACGACCGCAAGGUUGAAACUCAAAGGAAUUGACGGGGACCCGCACAAGCGGUGGAGCAUGUUGGUUUAAUUGGAAGCAACGCGAAGAACCUUACCAGGUCUUGACAUCCUUUGACCACCUCAGAGAUGAGGCUUUCCCUUCGGGGACAAAGUGACAGGUGGUGCAUGGUAGUCGUCAGCUCGUGUCGUGAGAUGUUGGGUUAAGUCCCGCAACGAGCGCAACCCUUAUGAUUAGUUGCCAGCAUUUAGUUGGGCACUCUAAUCAGACUGCCGGUGACAAACCGGAGGAAGGUGGGGAUGACGUCAAAUCAUCAUGCCCCUUAUGACCUGGGCUACACACGUGCUACAAUGGCAAGUACAACGAGCAGCUAACCCGUAAGGGCACGCGAAUCUCUUAAAACUUGUCUCAGUUCGGAUUGUGGGCUGCAACUCGCCCACAUGAAGUCGGAAUCGCUAGUAAUCGCGGAUCAGCACGCCGCGC